Camellia sinensis is the source of this 802-nucleotide long non-coding RNA. RefSeq lists it as uncharacterized. NCBI's taxonomy places the organism in Eukaryota, Viridiplantae, Streptophyta, Magnoliopsida, Ericales, Theaceae. The record is from RefSeq and is a predicted model, not a curated record.
UGCUUUUUAGACAAUUAUUCCAUGUCACUCCUAGGGCCUUCUCUGUCAUAGAACCUUUCAAGUGGUCUGAAAGUUAUCGCUUUUUGUAGCUUACCCUGCUCAAGGUUUAUAAAAAAGACCCAAAGUGUGUCUUUGCAUUGUGGAUGCACUUAAAAUGUCUCAAAAAUCUUGAAGGCUAGUUUGUGGAUAGGACCUCCACUUAUUAACAUGUGCAAUUCAUCUUUUAUUAACAUAUGGAUAUAUAUAUAAAAGUCUCUAGAUCUAGUUGCUUUUGUAUGUGUAGCCUGUCAAUCUCUUUGCGCAGCAUUGGCAAGAUAACUGAUCUGAGAUGUCUCUUUGGUUAUUUGCUUUGUUCUUAGCCAAUUCUUGUCGAUGUUGAGUUGAGUCAAAGCAAUCCAGAAAUCAUUUCCUCAGGUAACAAAAUAGAGAAUACAGUCCCUAGUCUGGUGGUAGACUUCUUCAAUGAAAAGUUUGCAAAACCGAGGAAUUAGGACUAAUCAGCAUCGGGUCAUGUGACGCUUAGAGAAAUGGUUGCAGUGACUUUGACCGAGAUCAAUGGGGCUACGGCUUUUGAAGUUUCUGGUAUGGUUCAAAUGUGGGAACAAAUAAUUUGAAUAAGGCACUCAGACCAGUGGCAAGUUUGAUGUUUUGUUAGUUUUGCCUGAGAAAUGGCAAUUGUUUUGUGCAACAGAACCCCUUUAAGGAAAAAAAGGGAAAGAAAAAAUGUUUCUUAAUGCAAAAUCUACUAAGCUCAAGGUGGAAAUUAAAUGGUCAUGUUUUUCAAUGUUUGUUUCCUAUGUUA